This 253-nucleotide ribosomal RNA is filed under the name uncultured bacterium. RNAcentral's name for it is "partial 16S ribosomal RNA". It matches the Rfam family "Bacterial small subunit ribosomal RNA", at positions 524 to 776 of the family's 1533-position model. The record is from RNAcentral.
UACGUAGGGUGCAAGCGUUAAUCGGAAUUACUGGGCGUAAAGCGUGCGCAGGCGGUGAUGUAAGACAGAUGUGAAAUCCCCGGGCUCAACCUGGGAACUGCAUUUGUGACUGCAUCGCUGGAGUGCGGCAGAGGGGGAUGGAAUUCCGCGUGUAGCAGUGAAAUGCGUAGAUAUGCGGAGGAACACCGGUGGCGAAGGCGGCAUCCUGGACCGGCAUUGACGCUGAGGCGCGAAAGCUAGGGGAGCAAACGGG